Molecule: ribosomal RNA, 495 nt
Filed under: uncultured bacterium
Lineage: Bacteria
Description: partial 16S ribosomal RNA
Rfam family: Bacterial small subunit ribosomal RNA
Source: RNAcentral
GACGAACGCUGGCGGCGUGCCUAAUACAUGCAAGUAGAACGCUGAAGGAGGAGCUUGCUCUUCUGGAUGAGUUGCGAACGGGUGAGUAACGCGUAGGUAACCUGCCUGGUAGCGGGGGAUAACUAUUGGAAACGAUAGCUAAUACCGCAUAACAGUAGAUGUUGCAUGACAUUUACUUAAAAGGUGCAAUUGCAUCACUACCAGAUGGACCUGCGUUGUAUUAGCUAGUUGGUGGGGUAACGGCUCACCAAGGCGACGAUACAUAGCCGACCUGAGAGGGGGAUCGGCCACACUGGGACUGAAGCACGGCCCAGGAUCCUACGGGAGGCAGCAGUAGGGAAUCUUCGGCAAUGGACGGAAGUCUGACCGAGCAACGCCGCGUGAGUGAAGAAGGGUUUCGGAUCGUAAAGAUCUGUUGUAAGAGAAGAACGAGUGUGAGAGUGGAAAGUUCACACUGUGACGGUAUCUUACCAGAAAGGGACGGCUAACUACGUG